UCAAACUUGGUCAUUUAGAGGAAGUAAAAGUCGUAACAAGGUUUCCGUAGGUGAACCUGCGGAAGGAUCAUUAUCGAGUUAGGGUCCUCACGGGGCCCGACCUCCCACCCUUUGUCUACCUAACCUUUUUGUUGCUUCGGCGGGCCCGUCCCCCUUCUGCGGAGGGGGCGACCGCCGGAGAGUUCACACUCUCUGGCCCGCGCCCGCCGGUGGCCCUCCAAAAACUCUUGCUAAAACGUGUCUUGUCUGAGUAAAGAUUAAUAAUCAAAAACUUUCAACAACGGAUCUCUUGGUUCUGGCAUCGAUGAAGAACGCAGC
Molecule: unclassified non-coding RNA, 318 nt
Filed under: uncultured fungus
Lineage: Eukaryota; Fungi
Description: partial contains small subunit ribosomal RNA, internal transcribed spacer 1, and 5.8S ribosomal RNA
Rfam family: Eukaryotic small subunit ribosomal RNA (bases 1-73)
Source: RNAcentral